RNAcentral lists this ribosomal RNA (266 nucleotides) under uncultured bacterium. Its description in RNAcentral is "partial 16S ribosomal RNA". It matches the Rfam family "Bacterial small subunit ribosomal RNA", at positions 793 to 1055 of the family's 1533-position model. The record is from RNAcentral.
GUCCAUGCCCUAAACGAUGGGUACUAGGUGUGAGGACUAUUUAAUGUCCUUGUGCCGAAGCUAACGCAUUAAGUACCCCACCUGGGAAGUACGGCCGCAAGGUUGAAACUCAAAGGAAUUGACGGGGGCCCGCACAAGCGGUGGAGCAUGUGGUUCAAUUCGACGCUACGCGAAGAACCUUACCUGGGCUUGACAUCCGGAGAAUCCCCUGGAAACAGGGGAGUGCCCGCAAGGGAGCUCCGAGACAGGUGCUGCAUGGCUGUCGU